Molecule: long non-coding RNA, 871 nt
Filed under: Homo sapiens (human)
Lineage: Eukaryota; Metazoa; Chordata; Mammalia; Primates; Hominidae
Description: HSALNT0073149
Source: RNAcentral
GCAGGCUGCGGGAGCCAGAAGCAGCACCCCGCUGGGGUCCCCUUGCACGCUGUGGAAGCUUUGUUGUUUUGCUCUUCGCGAUAAAUCUUGCUGCUGCUCACUCUUUGGGUCCAUGUUGCCAUUAUGAGCUGUAACACUGUGAAGGUCUGCAGCUUCACUCCUGAAGCCAGUGAGACCAUGAACCCACUGGGAGGGAUGAACAACUCCGGAAGGGAUGAACGAACAACUCCAGACACGCUGCCUUUAAGAGCUGUAACACUCACCUCGAAGGUCUGCAGCUUCACUCCUGAAGCCAGUGAGACCACAAACCCACCAGAAGGAAGAAACUCCAGACAUAUCUGAACAUCUGGAGGAACAAAGUCUGGACACACCAUCUUUAAGAACUGUAACACUGACUGUGAGGGUUUGUGGCUUCAUUCUUGAAGUCAGCGAGACCAAGAACCCACCAAUUCUGGACACAUUUUGGCGACCAUGAAGAGACUAUCACCUGUCGCCAAGUGGUGAGACUAUCGCCAAGUGGUGAGACCAUCGCCUAUUGCUGAGCGGUGAGACUGUCGCCUAUUGCCAAGCAGGGCAACACUUUCAGUUUAGAAAACAGUGGAACAUGUGAGAGAACACGCCAAGACAGACGCCUGACCAGUGAGCCAACACAAAGAAGAUUUGUGCAACAUUUUCCUUAUGAAAGCUGAUUUCUGGGCUUUAUCUGUCCUGGCAAAGAGAAUCAGACUGCUGGAUGACAUUUAUUUUUAUUAAAAUUGAGCAAACAGCAUUCAUAAGUUGAUGCAUACGCUGCUGAUGCAUCCGUGUAAAACAAAUAAACAGUAAGUCAGAGAACAGGAUGUAAAAGCAACAGCAAAAAAUCCUUCAUGCC